AAGACCGUUGGGGAGUUCAGAUGACAAGGGAAUAUGCCAUAGGAUCUGUGUGGUCCAAGACAUGCUGGAAAGGGAAAGGCACUUUCACUUUACAGCCUUAUCCACACAAGAAUCCAUCAUGUCACUUGAUUCAAACUGAAGCGAUCCAAUCCAUUCAAGCCAGCCUGUCCGAGCUGUAUCUUCAGCCAAUAAAGAGACAUCACUCAGAUUACAUUGACCAGCCCAAGACUCAAUCCUAGGCGUCCAUAUUCUAAAGCAAGUUCAACCAUUAGAUGUAGGUUUAUGAUUUGUAACCUGCAUUGUAUUUAAAGACCCAAAGGGGCGUCUUUUUAUCUCCUAAGAGAGUAAGGGGGAUUUCCCCUCUCCACUUCAUGAAUCAUAAACUUGUUCUAGAAUCUAAAACCCUAAUCUCUAAUCUCUUAUUCUCCUAAUCUCUCAGUCUCUUAAUCUCUGUUCCUAAGUCUCUUAUUCUCUCAUAUACACUCUCAUCAAUCUCUCUUUCUAAAUCACCUAGAGCAAGCUCUCAUCUUUCUCCAUUGGAGUUUAUACACACACACAUACAACCAGAGAAGAGAACUCUACAAAUCUCAUAUUGAUGGCCAUUAAAAUCACUUGAUAUCACCAAAGAAUGUUAAAAUGUUGUUCUGUAUAGGAAAUUAUCAAAAUAUUAGUAGCAGAAUCGGUAAAAUAUGAUAUCUGAAUUGGUAAAACCACGCGUCUAUUAUCGGGUGGUCAAAGCGUUUUGUGGAUCCUCAAAGGAUCCAAGUUGGAAUCCGUACCACACCAGAUUUUCACAGCAAGGAAUCAUCGGGGCUUUCACAUUCUCUCUUCGGAGAAUAGUUUACCAUUUUUAAAAAAAUAUGAUAUCUGACCCCCACAAAAUUAGGGUUUGAUUCCCACCAAUGACUCCUUAAAUUUGUUUGAACGCAGUCAGAUUUAAUACUGGGUCCACCAAGGUCUCGAACCCGACUCCUGGUCGACCAUGGGCGCAUCCCCUCCGCGGCGUGAACCCACGUUGCUCCUCUCGAAGCUGUGGCCUUUGUCUCUUUCCGGUGUUGCAGUCAUCGCGCUAGGCCGUAUCUCAGCGUUCAGUCUAUAUGAGAUCUUGCCUCACGGUGGUUGUCAAGUCGUUGCGACUCCAUGAAAGCACGAUUCACCACCACAGCUCUCCUUCCAACUUGUUUCCGUCUUUGUCGUGUUCUCAGCUCUCACCGCCACGUCGGUCGGGAGUGUUGACUUGAAGAAAGAAAUGGAGCCAAAGGAGAAGUAUUGAGUAGAUUGGGUCUGGUGCAAAGAUAGGGACAUGAUCUUAAGAGAUUGUCUAUCAAGGCUUCAUGAAGGUUUAGAGAAGUCUAGAAGUAUCAUGAAGCCUGUGCAAAGAUAGGGUUUAAGUCCAGGAGGGACUUAGACAUCAUUUAGAGAAGCUUGGACGAUAUGUGCAGAGUUAGGGCGAGGUACGGACAGGCGAUCCGUACCAUCGACCGUACAAAGCAGCAAUGGCCGUACUAAGCUUAUCUGAGCGAUCAAGAGAAGUGCAAGCUUAGGGCGUGGCUUACUCGGAGUAAUAAGACCGUUGGGGAGUUCAGAUGACAAGGGAAUAUGCCAUAGGAUCUGUGUGGUCCAAGACAUGCUGGAAAGGGAAAGGCACUUUCACUUUACAGCCUUAUCCACACAAGAAUCCAUCAUGUCACUUGAUUCAAACUGAAGCGAUCCAAUCCAUUCAAGCCAGCCUGUCCGAGCUGUAUCUUCAGCCAAUAAAGAGACAUCACUCAGAUUACAUUGACCAGCCCAAGACUCAAUCCUAGGCGUCCAUAUUCUAAAGCAAGUUCAACCAUUAGAUGUAGGUUUAUGAUUUGUAACCUGCAUUGUAUUUAAAGACCCAAAGGGGCGUCUUUUUAUCUCCUAAGAGAGUAAGGGGGAUUUCCCCUCUCCACUUCAUGAAUCAUAAACUUGUUCUAGAAUCUAAAACCCUAAUCUCUAAUCUCUUAUUCUCC
This 1994-nucleotide long non-coding RNA is filed under the name Brassica napus (rape). Its description in RNAcentral is "long non-coding RNA (BNAP_LNC021325)". The record is from RNAcentral. Lineage: Eukaryota; Viridiplantae; Streptophyta; Magnoliopsida; Brassicales; Brassicaceae.